AAAAUUAUUAACUUUAGCAAAUUGCAAUUUAUAAAUAACUUUAUGCACUAAUUUUGCUGACACUCUUUAUAUAUGCAUUCUCUUAUAUCAGGGGCCAAAUGAAAUUGAAGGCAUAGUAUUAGAUUUACCAAAAGGUGAUGAGGAGAUAAGCUUGCAUCCGGAUGCAUUUCGACAUAUGAAAAGACUUAGAGUCUUUAUAAAUCGUAAUGCACGUUUUUCUUGUGGACCCAAUUAUCUCUCCGACAAGUUAAGAGUCCUUGAUUGGUAUAAAUAUCCUGUAGAGUCUUUGCCACAUGAUUUCCAAGGAAAGAAACUCAUUGUCUUUAACAUGCGUGAUAGCUUGGUGAAGGAGUUAGGGAAUGGAUUCAACCCCAAGAAUUUGACGAUAAUGACUUUCUAUGGUUGCAAAUUCUUAAAAAGGAUUCCUGAUUUUUCAAGCAUCUCAAAUUUGAAAGAAUUGAUUGUCCAAUAUUGUAAAAGAUUAGUUGAGGUGCAUGAUUCGGUUGGAUCUUUGAAAAAUCUUUCCAGGUUGGAUUUUGAUGGAUGCUCUAAACUCCAAAUUCUUCCAAGAAGCCUUAAGUUGAGAUCUUUAUGUGAGCUUAAUCUUGGGACUUGCUCAAGCCUCCGUGAUUUUCCUGAAAUCGAGUGUAAAAUGGAAUGUUUAAGGAAAUUGAGUUUAUAUAGCACUGCAGUAGAAGAACUCCCUUUAUCCAUCAGGAACCUCGUUGGACUUGAGACAUUAGAUCUAUUGGAUUGCAAAAACCUUAUGCGUCUCCCAAUUGCUUCCAUCCCGUUGAAAUAUUUACGCUGCUUUUGUAUGGGUGGACAUGAUUCCGUUUAUCUGCCUAAUGAUUCUACAACAAUGGAAGAUGAGAUAUCAAAUUCAAGAAAUGGGAGCACUGCAUUACAAGUACCGAAUCUUCAACUUAGUUGUUCUCAUUCAGAAUCAAAUUUCUUUCCACUGUAGUUUAUUUACCAUGUUUAAUUCCUCAGCCACUUUGGAUUCGUUAUCUCUAUCGGGACUUGAAAUUGUUAGCCUUCCCAAGAGCAUCAAAGAGUCCGUUACACUAACUAAUCUCACCUUGGCCCGUUGUUGUAACCUCGAAGAAAUACUAGAGCUUCCACUAAAUAUAAGACAAGUAGAUGUUAGGGGAUGCAAGUCAUUAAAAAUAUUUCCGACCGUGGAAAAAAGAAGAGAGGGUAAUAGAUAUUGAGGGGCCGCACUAUUUGGAGGAGAUAAGCGGAAUUGUAUUAUAUGUCGUAAUUUUUUUUAAGAAGAUGUUUCAGUCUGGGAUGAUAGUGAUAUUGUUGAUGCUAAAAUAACUAGUAAGAUAACCAGUAAUGGCUCAAAUCAUGUAUGCCGUAUUCAAGAAGAGGUACGAUUGGUUAAUAGUGAUUUCCACGAAAAGGAAAAUAGGACUGGAUAUUUUGUAUGGGUGGGGUACUCCAAUUUACAAUCUUUUGAACUUCAGGUUUUGGACAAUUUGCUAGUUCAAUUUUAUCCCAGUCAUCGUGGGAUGGUGCCGUUUUAUGAAAGUUACAGAGCGAAAGUGGUAUACAAGAAUGAAAGGAGAGCAAAUUAAAAAAGAAAAAUAGAUGAAGCCGAUGUUGCAAAAACUCCUGAUCAACAACAAUUCAAUUAAUGAUAACCCCAGGUGAGUAAGUCGCCCCUCAUAUUCUCUGUUCUUUUCUCGGAUGAUUUCUUUGGAUUAGUACUUAUGUUUAUGAAAAAAAUCACCUGAUAUUCUUAAACUUGGGGCAUUAAACUGCCAGAUCAAGUGGAGAAGGACUACGAUGACUCAAAGGACUCCAUGCCUUUUUCUUCUUCUUAUUUUUUUUUUUUUUUUUUUUUUGGCCAUUGCCCUGUUUUAGGCCCAUAAAUUUUUGUGUACGAUGGACUAUAUAUGUUUACUAAAACUUUAUGUACAAUCACUUUUGUGUACUCCUUGUGCACUUUAAUAAUGUGAUUGGCUGCUUCACUUUUUUUAAUAUAAAAUAAUUGUUUUGGCCGACAAUCACAUUAAUAGAGUGCGCAAGAAGUGUGUGAAAGUGACUAUAUAUAGUAGAAUUCGUAUGUUUAUACCAAUUUUUACUUUGGAAUAAUGACCAUAUAUGUUUAGUCUUUGCCAAUGAAAUAAAGGUGGUCAUUUUGUUACCAUUUGAUGUUAAAAUUCCCUUAAUCUACUCGGGUUGCAUGUGCAUUGAGAAAGAGGACAACCACAUUAAUUGUGAAGAAUAUUAUUUUGUAGAUUUUAAUAAUCUCGCCUUUCUAGGAUGCUUAUUUGCAUUGCUUUGGGAUAUCUUUGUUAAAUCGCCUGACCCUGUUGUUGCUGUUUCUUUGGAAUUACAGGUGAGAUUUUCGUUUAAUUUUUGUUUGUUCUCACUGGUCUUUAAGACUUGAUUUGGUAUUUGCCAUUGAAAAUUUGAAAUCAGAUGUUGUCAUUUGUUUCAUAUAUGAUGUUAAGAAAUUGCCAUGAAUCUACUCUUCGGCUGCAUAUGUACUGGCUGUAUUGCUCAUGUUGGUUUGUUGGGAUUAUGGUAACACAACUCUAUUGAUCUCAACUUUUGGGUUUAGGGAACUGUACAACAUGUGCACUGAUGUAACAUGUCUUAAUUUUCAAGGGACCUGUUCCAGAUAAGGUGGUGAAGGACUAUGAUGAUCCAAAGGUAGAUUUGGAGUUAGAGCUUCGACUUGUUUGAGAUGGAUGAAUGGCAUGUAUGUUUAUAAGAGCUGAAUCUUAAGACCACUACACUAUUGCUACUCUCAUCCAUCUCUCUCUCUCUCUCUCUCUCUCUCUGUGGUUAUUUAUAAGAUUGAACAAUUUGGAGGUAACCGUCAAUCUUGCCAAAAGUGGGGAAAUCUUCAUGCUUAGCUUUAAUCAGCCUUACAUACAUGACUUCCUGCAUGUGUUCUGAAGGAACCUCUUCCCCUUCCUCUUCUUCCAUUGAUCGAUGGAGUUACUAUGUAUUCUUGAAUUUUAGAGGUGAAGAUACUCGCACUAAUUUUACUGCUCAUCUAUACAACGCUUUGUGUCAGAAGGGUAUCAAUACUUACAUAGAUGAAGACGAGCUUAGAAGAGGAGAAGAAAUUUCUCCAGCUCUUUGCAAAGCUAUUGAAGAGUCAAGAAUUUCCAUCACUAUAUUCUCUAAGAAUUAUGCAUCAUCCACAUGGUGCUUGGCAAGCUGUUGAAGAUCCUUGAGUGCAAAGAAACAAAGCAAUAGAUGGUUCUACCAGUGUUUUACCAGGUAGAUCCAUCGGAAGUACGGAAUCAAAAAGGAAGUAAGCGUGAAAACGGGUUUCAGGAUUAUGUUAAGGUGCAAAGGUGGAAGGCAGCCUUAAAAGAAGUGGCCAAAUUGUCCAGGUUCCAUUUAGGGAACAGAUAGUAUGUCGGAUGCAUUGAAGCAGGGCCAUGAUGAUAGUAUGUUGGAUACAUUGAUGCAGGGCCAUGAUGAUAAUAGCAUGCCGGAUGCAUUGAGGUAGGGCAACUAUCUUAUAAAAAGAUGAUUUUUGAGGUUUGUUGCAACAGGCAAAAGGGUAAUGAAAUCCCAGAACUUACUGGAGGAAUUAAAUAAAUUAAUAGAAGACAAGGGAGACUCAAGAGAGGUUUUGGAGAGCCUACUUGGUUACAUCAUGUGUUCCACCCAGGAGGCAGCAGUUGUUCCACCAUAUGUUGCUCUUGCCAUAGACCAAAUCCUGGAUUCUGGGAAUUUGUUAAGAAAUGGUUUCAGCUUCAUCUCGAAGUUCAUGACGUCAAGGCUGCAUGGGAAUUCUAAGAGUGCAAAGCCACUACUCAAGCACUUACAAGCUCUAUAUUAUAAAGCAGAGGUAUAAACGCAGCUCAUUCUUUGGAUAGGCACACGGAGAAUGGAAGAAAGUAAUUUUUGUAUCAUACUUUGGAUACAGAAAUAAUGGUGUUCCAAUUUAGCAGGAUCUUAUGAUGAAUGGAACUUUGGAUACGGUCACUAAGCUACAAAGUGCCCUGAUUGUAUUUGUCUCUACAAUCCCCAAAGAGAUACCAUUUCUUAAUUUUGAGCAGAGGUGACCAUUAUUUUAUGUUUACCACCCUCAUUGAAAGUAAAACUUGUUUUGACCCAAA
Long non-coding RNA from Carya illinoinensis, 4097 nucleotides. RefSeq lists it as uncharacterized. The record is from RefSeq and is a predicted model, not a curated record. The transcript has 7 exons. NCBI's taxonomy places the organism in Eukaryota, Viridiplantae, Streptophyta, Magnoliopsida, Fagales, Juglandaceae.